Molecule: non-coding RNA, 89 nt
Organism: Drosophila melanogaster (fruit fly)
Lineage: Eukaryota; Metazoa; Arthropoda; Insecta; Diptera; Drosophilidae
Gene: mir-961
Source: Ensembl
UCAAGGGCCGAGUUACCUUUGAUCACCAGUAACUGAGAUUGUUUCUGAUACGGUUUCGUUUUCUGGCAAUCAAAAGAACUUGGACUCGA